AACAGCUCAACACUGGACAAGUAAAAUUCUUUGACUAAGAUGCAGAAAAUAUUGCUGUAAACCCAACAGUACAAGCUGAGAGUGAUGUCUUCUGGCUUUCAAGUUUUAAAACCUGUAUGCCCUUGAUCCUACUCCUUCCUCCACUAUUCACCUCCUUGGAAAUCUGAGAGACAUUCAUGUCCCAGGAGUGACCAGCUUGAAGAGAGCUGAAACCCAGCCCCGUUGCACAGCUGGCUCCCAAGGAUCUAUCUUGGCUCUCGACUUCCUAAAUACAGAGUUUAUUUCACCUCCUGGCUCCCUUGUGGAUGUAGGGGCCAUGGGACUAGUUCUGGACGAGGCAUCGUAAAGGAAAAUGAUACGUGUCAACUUAGGGCUGAGCACUUAAUUGAUUGCCCAAGACCUCCAAGUCUUGCUGUGUUCUUUGGCAUACUACACAGUGAUGUUUGCAGUGGGAGCUACUCUGUUAGCCUGGGUGACUAAAUGAUAAUGAUAUGCAAAGCCUCCUUGUUGAUCUAUGAUAGCACCCAGCUAACUUCUCUACCUUGGAGGAUCAGGUGAAAGAAAAACACCAGAUGGGAAGAAAAGUGGAGAGAAUGAUUGAGCCUGGAACCUCAGCAUGGCAUUAUCCACAUGGGCUGUUUUAUCAGUAUGCCUUUUUGUAACCCCAGAUAAGGGAAAACUGUAGCCAGAAAAAGAUGAAAACAGGGAAAUUCAACCAUUGCAGGCAUUUAUUCUUAUCUUUUGUUUUUAUAAAGAAUGACAAAUAA
Molecule: long non-coding RNA, 767 nt
Organism: Gorilla gorilla gorilla (western lowland gorilla)
Lineage: Eukaryota; Metazoa; Chordata; Mammalia; Primates; Hominidae
Exons: 4
Source: RefSeq, a predicted model, not a curated record